Molecule: ribosomal RNA, 492 nt
Filed under: uncultured bacterium
Lineage: Bacteria
Description: partial 16S ribosomal RNA
Rfam family: Bacterial small subunit ribosomal RNA
Source: RNAcentral
AGUGAACGCUGGCGGUAGGCCUAACGCAUGCAAGUCGAACGGCAGCACAGUAAGAGCUUGCUCUUACGGGUGGCGAGUGGCGGGCGGGUGAGGAAUACAUCGGACUCUACUUUUUCGUGGGGGAUAACGUAGGGAAACUUACGCUAAUACCGCAUACGACCUACGGGUGAAAGCAGGGGAUCUUCGCACCUUGCGCGAUUGAAUGAGCCGAUGUCGGAUUAGCUAGUUGGCGGGGUAAAGGCCCACCUAGGCGACGAUCCGUAGCUGGUCUGAGAGGAUGAUCAGCCACACUGGAACUGAGACACGGUCCAGACUCCUACGGGAGGCAGCAGUGGGGAAUAUUGGACAAUGGGCGCAAGCCUGAUGCAGCCAUGCCGCGUGGGUGAAGAAGGCCUUCGGGUUGUAAAGUACUUUUGGUGGGAAAGAAAAGCAGAAGGUUAAUACCUCGCUGUUUUGACGUUACCCAAAGAAUAAGCACCGGCUAACUUCGUG